RNAcentral lists this ribosomal RNA (353 nucleotides) under uncultured soil bacterium. RNAcentral's name for it is "bacterial SSU rRNA". It matches the Rfam family "Bacterial small subunit ribosomal RNA", at positions 26 to 379 of the family's 1533-position model. The record is from RNAcentral.
AGAUUGAACGCUGGCGGCAUGCCUUACACAUGCAAGUCGAACGGCAGCACGGGAGCAAUCCUGGUGGCGAGUGGCGAACGGGUGAGUAAUAUAUCGGAACGUGCCCAGUCGUGGGGGAUAACGCAGCGAAAGCUGUGCUAAUACCGCAUACGAUCUAUGGAUGAAAGCGGGGGAUCGCAAGACCUCGCGCGAUUGGAGCGGCCGAUAUCAGAUUAGCUAGUUGGUGGGGUAAAAGCCUACCAAGGCGACGAUCUGUAGCUGGUCUGAGAGGACGACCAGCCACACUGAACUGAGACACGGUCCAGACUCCGUACGGGAGGCAGCAGUGGGGAAUUUUGGGACAAGUGGGCGCG